Molecule: long non-coding RNA, 460 nt
Filed under: Harpegnathos saltator (Jerdon's jumping ant)
Lineage: Eukaryota; Metazoa; Arthropoda; Insecta; Hymenoptera; Formicidae
Description: uncharacterized LOC112589124, transcript variant X1
Source: RNAcentral
GAUAUUUCCAAUUGUUUACACUAUAAUGGAAGGAUGCACUUUUGAUGAUUAUUUAAAUGUUGUAUAAAAAGUCAUCCACGUAAUUAAAUUAGCACCAGAAAUUAUAAUAUCAGAUUUUGAAAAAGCCGAGCGAAAGGCAUUACAAACGAUUUUUCCCAGAGCUAAAGUCAUUGGCUGCUUCUUUCAUUAUAGCCUUAAUACAUAAUGCUGAGAAGCACAACAUCCUAAAAGGCGACAAAAAGGAAUCAGAGAGACAUGGUUAAAUGGCUUCAAACCUCGUUCAUUUUGUGUUUUUCAACAGUUACACAGAACGAACAAUAUUUCUGAAAGACACAACCGAGAAUUACGAGAAAGCCUAAAGAAACAUUCAAAAAUAGUUGAAUUUUUAGCUAAUCUAAUUGAACACCAAAAAGACAUUCAAAGUAAACUGAAACAUCCAAACUUCUCGGUGAGAUCAGAG